GCCUUCGUGAUGGAACUGGUAGACUUGCUGGUUUUAGGAACCAGUGCCUUGCGGCGUAUCGGUUCGAAUCCGAUCGAAGGCA
RNAcentral lists this transfer RNA (82 nucleotides) under Chlorosarcina stigmatica. RNAcentral describes it as "tRNA-Leu". It matches the Rfam family "tRNA". Rfam says of the family: Transfer RNA (tRNA) molecules are approximately 80 nucleotides in length. Their secondary structure includes four short double-helical elements and three loops (D, anti-codon, and T loops). Further hydrogen bonds mediate the characteristic L-shaped molecular structure. tRNAs have two regions of fundamental functional importance: the anti-codon, which is responsible for specific mRNA codon recognition, and the 3' end, to which the tRNAs corresponding amino acid is attached (by aminoacyl-tRNA synthetases). tRNAs cope with the degeneracy of the genetic code in two manners: having more than one tRNA (with a specific anti-codon) for a particular amino acid; and 'wobble' base-pairing, i.e. permitting non-standard base-pairing at the 3rd anti-codon position. The record is from RNAcentral. Lineage: Eukaryota; Viridiplantae; Chlorophyta; Chlorophyceae; Chlorosarcinales; Chlorosarcinaceae.